This is a long non-coding RNA of Apis mellifera (honey bee), 1282 nucleotides long. RefSeq lists it as uncharacterized. The transcript is spliced from 3 exons. Lineage: Eukaryota; Metazoa; Arthropoda; Insecta; Hymenoptera; Apidae. The record is from RefSeq and is a predicted model, not a curated record.
UUUUUCAAAUCGUUAGUAACGAAAUAAAAAUUUAUUCUCAGUUUGAGAGAAAAAAUGUACACUUUCUAUCUUCUUUCUUUUUUAUUUAAUAUUUUAUACGCAAAGAUAUUUGCGAUUUUAUCACGAUUAUUCAAUCAUGGAUGUGGAAAUAGGUCAGACGUAUAAUUGAUAAACUGAUCUCUGUUGCAAUUUAAUUACAAUAUUCAUAUCUCGAGCGUUUCAAUUCGAUCACAAUGGAUACAAUCAUCGUGUUUUUCUUUGUUUCGGUAUUUCCUUUGAUAAAUCGAAAUUUCCGUCCUUCUUCGCGCGAAUUAAUAUCGUCGCGUGACACAAUAAGAUAAACCGUUUCAAAAUACACGUGACGAAGCAUUCGAGUUUAAAUGUUUUGAAGCGGUUAGUUUACACUCCCUGUCCCGAAGCUGUUCCGAAAGCUCAAACUCUCUACAGUGGAGAUUCUUCGCAAAUACAGGCUGAAGAGUCUUGUGCAAAUCGGACGACAGGAUUACGAAUUGAAAUACGCGGGUCACUGAUCUCUAUGACGAGACCGUAUCACAAUAUUCUCUUGGGGUAAAUAGAGAAGUUGCACGUUAUAGCGAAUAUGAGAAUCUUUUACGAUUGAUCGUAUACCGUGAAUAAACGAGAUUUACACAAGCUUUAAACGAAUUACAGUUGGUCUUCUGUUAAUUGAAAUGAAUUGUAAUUGAUCGUUAUUCUAUAAUUACCCCUCUAAUUUGUAUAAUUACCCAUGAUACGAUAGAAAAUAUUUUUUGUCGAUUGUUACUGCGAAAGCGAGCGAGGCACUGCUAUGCACGAUGUAUUGCGCUUGCGCAGAGCCGAUCUUCGUUAAUACUCGGCUCUUUUCGGUAAUUUUCGUCGCGUGUCAUACCAUCGUCGUAUACCUGUCAAGUGCAAAUAAAGAAAAGUACAAGAAACAACUUCUUGUCUCCGAGAACCUGUAUUUUCAAGUUAUUGAAAUCGGUAAAGUCCAUUCUAUCGUCAAUUUCGUGACGUGACCUGCGAGUGGAACGUCAGCCAGAGGCGUGGAUAAAUUAUUCCGGUACGUGAAAAGAGAGUGGGGGGAUCAAUAAUGAAACAUACCAUCUCGAAGCAAAAGGUUGAAGGCGUCGCAAAGCGAUUUCCAUUGCGGUUGAAAAUCGUGACUGGUUUUCGAAAGGACAAUAACGCCGGACUCGAUCCACGAGGACAUUCACCCGACGUAUAGAACUCAUCUCAUCAAAAUAUUCCAAAUCUUGGUGAAUAUUCGAAAACUCGAAACGUUCUA